RNAcentral lists this long non-coding RNA (2026 nucleotides) under Volvox carteri. Its description in RNAcentral is "long non-coding RNA (VCAR_LNC001375)". Lineage: Eukaryota; Viridiplantae; Chlorophyta; Chlorophyceae; Chlamydomonadales; Volvocaceae. The record is from RNAcentral.
UUUAGCAGGUCGUUCAACCAUGUGGCCGUCACGCAGCGAUUCCCAUACCGCCUCCCUCCAUGCCCUCCUGCCCUCCUCCCCCGCCUAUCUCAGCAGCCAGGAGGAGCUAGGCCUCCGCAGUCAGGCCCUCCUGGAUCAGCCCCGCUACAGGUCUAUGGCUGCGGGCUGCGGACCCUCCCCGGCAGUCUUGGCCGCGCAGGCGGAAGCGCAGCUGGGGGUGCCCCCCGUGGGGCCAACACGAGGAGAGGACUUCAUUCGCUGGAUGUAUUGGGGGGGUGAGUGCGGGAUUGGGAUUGGGAUUGGGGUGGGGGGUGGGGUGGGGGUGGGGUGGGGUGGGGUGGGGUGCCGCUAAGGAGGUGCUGCGCAUUGCUGGGAAAUGGUGAUACACUUGAGCUCAAGUCGCCUUGCUAAAGGGGGGUUGGGGUAUGGUUUAGGAUGGCCUUUCUGGAGAGAUAGCUUUUGAAUGAGGUGUAUGCUGCCCUCAUCUGGGAGGGGAAACAGGUGUGGGAAAUGAACGGGAGACGGAACAUUUUCCCGAGAGGUUGUGGUAUAUACCCUUGAGGUUGUGGUACCCCCGUAUCUCACACAGUGUGAGGUGUGUGGCGUCAGCAGUCGCUGUUUAUGUCAUUAACUUCCCUAGCACGUUGUUCUUUGAGCGAGGCGGGGCCGAUAUGUGAUAUAGCCCACUUUUACGCAAUCAAUGCAUGACAGUUUUCCUCCCCAGUAUGACGUUAGCUAUUAAAUGAUUCUGAGUCGUCUUUCCUGAGUGAGGAAGCACUCCGCUCGUAUCGCCGACGUGACUGUCGUGGCCCGUGUUACGUUAUGUUAUGUUAUGUUAUGUUAUGGUGGCCCGUUUGUUUGCAGCUUCCAACACCGACCGGAACCCCGGGGUGAGCGCCGGCAGUGCGGGGGGUGGCAGUGGCAGCGGCACAGCCGGUUUUUCAGGCUGGCCCAGCGUUUUGUCGGGCGGCUUGCCCGGGGCGGCCCCCCCGCCAUUCACCCCGCAUGCGGUGAGCCAUGCCGCUGGCGGACUUCAGAGGCCCCAAGUAGAGGGGGCCUUCCGGGGGCUCUUGGACCCCACACCCUCGCAACGAGGGGAGGAGGAGCUUUAGGGCAUUUUCUAAUGAGGGGAAAAGGAAGAUUAACGAGUUGGGCUUAUAUAUGACUCGCGUAGGGUUUAAGGCACGGAGAAGCGAUACUCUCCGCAAUCCCCAAGUGGAAAGGCGCUGGCUCGUCCGUACACAUGUGCAUUACGAGAGUAGGUGUUUUGCGUGGUCAGUACUGCCAGGGGGGUGAAAAUCCCCCCCCCGCACAUCACCAGCGCGCAUAUCAACAGGAGGAUUCAUUCGUGUGAGCACCCGUACUUACCGACCUUGUAUAUGUACGACAGGUUCCGGAGCUAUGUGAACGGAUGCGGGCAGACGCGCAGCGCAUGACGUCAGCCUUGGCGGCCUGCCGUACAGCAGGUCGUUUGCAGUUACAGAACGAGCUGAGUACGGCCAUGGAUGCGUCGUACCGCGAGGCGGAGCGAUGCAGCCAGUGGCGGCGGAGGGUGCAGGUAGGGGCGUUGUGUAUAAGCGUGUGUGUAUAUAUGUAUGUAUGUAUAUGUGAGAGAAGUCACAGACGCUACCGUCGUGCUUCUGUGACUGUGGCUUCAUUCCCCUCCUGCUUCCUGUUUUGAUGUCUGGUCUGUCGGGGUUCCCUUUGUCCAUCCGAACCACCGCAGCAACAGGAGCCUAGGGGCCCGUGGGGGGUUUUAGCCCGGGUGUGUUGACUGCGUUGUACUCGACUCGUACGUGUGACACGGCUGAGAUACGCUGCCCUCGUACUGCCCUCGUACUGUCCUCGUACACACUCUAAUGACAUCAGUCCCAUGUCGUCUUUAGGAUUACACCCAGCGUUGUGAGGACUCGGGGAGUCUGUCUGCCGUACUGGCGGCGACGGACGUCAUCAACCAAGCGCUCCAAGACUGGCAGAACUUCACGAGCAAGGAGGUGUUUGACACGCUACGGAUUGUCGUACCGCC